GACAGAGGGGGCAAGCGUUGCUCGGAAUUACUGGGCGUAAAGAGCUCGUAGGCGGCUCAGUAAGUCAGGUGUGAAAACUCCAGGCUCAACCUGGAGACGCCACUUGAUACUGCUGUGGCUAGAGUCCGGUAGGGGAGCAUGGAAUUCCUGGUGUAGCGGUGAAAUGCGCAGAUAUCAGGAGGAACACCAGUGGCGAAGGCGGUGCUCUGGGCCGGAACUGACGCUGAGGAGCGAAAGCGUGGGGAGCAAACAGG
RNAcentral lists this ribosomal RNA (254 nucleotides) under uncultured bacterium. Its description in RNAcentral is "partial 16S ribosomal RNA". It matches the Rfam family "Bacterial small subunit ribosomal RNA", at positions 524 to 776 of the family's 1533-position model. The record is from RNAcentral.